GCUCAGGACGAACGCUGGCGGCGUGCCUAAUACAUGCAAGUCGCGCGGACUUCUUCGGAAGUCAGCGGCGGACGGGUGAGUAACACGUGGGCAAUCUGCCUUUCAGACUGGAAUAACGCCUGGAAACGGGUGCUAAUGCCGGAUAGGCAACGAGUAGGCAUCUACUUGUUGGGAAAGGUGCUACGGCACCACUGAGAGAGGAGCCCGCGGCGCAUUAGCUAGUUGGUGGGGUAACGGCCUACCAAGGCGACGAUGCGUAGCCGACCUGAGAGGGUGACCGGCCACACUGGGACUGAGACACGGCCCAGACUCCUACGGGAGGCAGCAGUAGGGAAUCUUCGGCAAUGGGCGCAAGCCUGACCGAGCAACGCCGCGUGAGCGAAGAAGGCCUUCGGGUUGUAAAGCUCAGUCAUCCGGGAAGAGAGACCAGGGGAGGGAAUGCCCCUGGAGAGACGGUACCGGGAGAGGAAGCCCCGGCUAACUACGUGCCAGCAGCCGCGGUAAUACGUAGGGGGCAAGCGUUGUCCGGAAUCACUGGGCGUAAAGCGUGCGUAGGCGGUUUGUUAAGUCUGAAGUGAAAGGCCAUGGCUCAACCAUGGGAAUGCUUUGGAAACUGGCAGACUGAGUACUGAGAGGCAAGGGGAAUUCCACGUGUAGCGGUGAAAUGCGUAGAGAUGUGGAGGAAUACCAGUGGCGAAGGCGCCUUGCUGGACAGUGACUGACGCUGAGGCACGAAAGCGUGGGGAGCAAACAGGAUUAGAUACCCUGGUAGUCCACGCCGUAAACGAUGAGUGCUAGGUGUUGGAGGUUCAGACCUUCAGUGCCGAAGGAAACCCAAUAAGCACUCCGCCUGGGGAGUACGGUCGCAAGACUGAAACUCAAAGGAAUUGACGGGGGCCCGCACAAGCAGUGGAGCAUGUGGUUUAAUUCGAAGCAACGCGAAGAACCUUACCAGGGCUUGACAUCCCUCUGACCGGUGUAGAGAUACACCUUCCCUUCGGGGCAGAGGAGACAGGUGGUGCAUGGUUGUCGUCAGCUCGUGUCGUGAGAUGUUGGGUUAAGUCCCGCAACGAGCGCAACCC
This 1082-nucleotide ribosomal RNA is filed under the name Alicyclobacillus sp. Its description in RNAcentral is "bacterial SSU rRNA". It matches the Rfam family "Bacterial small subunit ribosomal RNA", at positions 22 to 1104 of the family's 1533-position model. The record is from RNAcentral. Lineage: Bacteria; Bacillati; Bacillota; Bacilli; Caryophanales; Alicyclobacillaceae.